Molecule: long non-coding RNA, 245 nt
Filed under: Parus major (Great Tit)
Lineage: Eukaryota; Metazoa; Chordata; Aves; Passeriformes; Paridae
Description: lncRNA (ENSPMJG00000007730.1)
Source: RNAcentral
AAUGUGCAUGUACUAGAAAAAGGAAAGAGUGUUUAAAGAGCAUGGUCAUUACUUUGUUUUUCAGGGAGACCCAGGCCCAUGUGGACUCCAAGGAGAGCAGGGUUAUGCUGGCCUAGAUGGUGCAGCAGGUCGAAGAGGCCCUCCAGGUAUAAAGGGUGAGCAAGGACAUCUGGGAGAAACAGGUUACACAGGAGAAACUGGUCUUCCAGGCCCACAGGGCCCAAGGGGACAACAAGGGAUCAGAG